UUGUAGCGGGUAUAGUUUAGUGGUAAAAGU
This 30-nucleotide transfer RNA is filed under the name Solanum pentaphyllum. Its description in RNAcentral is "partial tRNA-Gly". The record is from RNAcentral. Lineage: Eukaryota; Viridiplantae; Streptophyta; Magnoliopsida; Solanales; Solanaceae. RNAcentral also lists the same sequence under 1 other name.